RNAcentral lists this ribosomal RNA (465 nucleotides) under Vreelandella stevensii. RNAcentral describes it as "partial 16S ribosomal RNA". It matches the Rfam family "Bacterial small subunit ribosomal RNA", at positions 338 to 795 of the family's 1533-position model. The record is from RNAcentral. Lineage: Bacteria; Pseudomonadati; Pseudomonadota; Gammaproteobacteria; Oceanospirillales; Halomonadaceae.
CCUACGGGGGGCUGCAGUGGGGAAUAUUGGACAAUGGGGGGAACCCUGAUCCAGCCAUGCCGCGUGUGUGAAGAAGGCCCUCGGGUUGUAAAGCACUUUCAGUGAGGAAGAACGCCUGGUGGUUAAUACCCAUCAGGAAAGACAUCACUCACAGAAGAAGCACCGGCUAACUCCGUGCCAGCAGCCGCGGUAAUACGGAGGGUGCGAGCGUUAAUCGGAAUUACUGGGCGUAAAGCGCGCGUAGGUGGCUUGAUAAGCCGGUUGUGAAAGCCCCGAGCUCAACCUGGGAACGGCAUCCGGAACUGUCAAGCUAGAGUGCAGGAGAGGAAGGUAGAAUUCCCGGUGUAGCGGUGAAAUGCGUAGAGAUCGGGAGGAAUACCAGUGGCGAAGGCGGCCUUCUGGACUGACACUGACACUGAGGUGCGAAAGCGUGGGUAGCAAACAGGAUUAGAUACCCUGGUAGUC